UUGAACACUACAAAUAAACAUGAUGCACAAUUAAAGAGUGUUAUUGGAUGCACCCACAAAAAAUGAAACUGAGCAGCUCCUUUUUAAAACCUCAAAUUUACAUACCUCCCAAGUUUCCCUAAUUGGGAGGGAAAGUCCCUAUUUUGGGCCCAAAUCCCUCUGUCCCUCUUUUCUGUCCUAAUGUUCCUCUUUUCUAGGAGCUCCAUAUUGUUGGUGGGUCCAAGUGUAUAACAGAGCUCCCAGUACUAUGUUUUUAAAGGGACACUAUAGUCACCAGAACAACAACAGCUUAUUGUAUUUGUUCUGGUGAGUAGCAUUAUUACCUGCAGGCUUUUUGCCGUAAACACUGUCUUUUCAGAGACAUCAUCAGAAGUGCCAGAGGGCUGUGUUUGGUUGUUCUGGCUCUGCCACUGAUCUGCCUCCUUGACAAGCUCAGCCAAUCCAAUGCUUUAAUUUGGGACAAGCAUUGUGAUUGGCUAAAAUCACCACUUCUGAUGAGGUCAUCCAAUGAGGCAGAUCAAGGGCAGUGCCAGCACUAGUAGACUAGAAUAAAGAUAAUAUUUUACUAUUAUUACAGGGGAUGGGGGGGAGGGGGGGGGAGGAGAUAGUGUUUAACACUGAAUAUAGGGUCAUGAAUACCCUACAUUUCUUUAAACAACAAUAAAUACUUUGUUCAUGUUCUAAGUUACAUUUUAGUUGCAUAAAUGAUUAUUAGUAAGUCAACAAAAAUAUCUCAGAACAGCCCACUCUUGAUCAAACUCCCAAUUAAACUCAGAACAGCCAACCCCUAGUCACACCCUCUCUCACACCACUGAAAUUAAAGUGUCCCUCUGUGUCUAUUUGAAAUGUUGGGAGGUAUGAAUUUCUCCAGUGAUACAGAAAUACUUAAUUCUCUACAAAGUAGCAAAUCAAUAAAAAAAAAAUCCACCUACUUAACCGACUAGUCUGUCAAACAUGCCAUCAUCCCUGUUUUCUCUAUAGACACCAAACAUUCGGGUUCUUCACAGGAGAAAUAUAUGUGACGUUUGUUCUAUUUGGUACCAUUGUGCUGACUCCAUCCGUGUUGUGUGUUAUCUUCUUUAGAGAAUUGAUUUGUGUAAUGUUCAAGCUUUGGAUUUCAUGUGCAUGUAAUUUGCAUACUCAAUACUCUGAGUAAAUUUGUUUUUGUAAAAUAAAACUCCAAACCUCUAAGGUACUUUUCAGGAUGUUGAAUUGCCUUAGGGAUUAGUGUCCCCUGAUUCCAACUUUCUAAAAUUGCCAGUUUCAAGAGAAAUCAUGACUUAUAUAAAGGUGCUAAGUUGCACCCUAAAAGCUG
Molecule: non-coding RNA, 1315 nt
Organism: Pelobates cultripes (western spadefoot toad)
Lineage: Eukaryota; Metazoa; Chordata; Amphibia; Anura; Pelobatidae
Source: the annotation of a GenBank genome assembly